RNAcentral lists this long non-coding RNA (153 nucleotides) under Capra hircus (goat). RNAcentral describes it as "lncRNA (ENSCHIG00000003937.1)". The record is from RNAcentral. Lineage: Eukaryota; Metazoa; Chordata; Mammalia; Artiodactyla; Bovidae.
GAAAAACUCAGAAGCACCCAGAUGUCUUGGCUGGACAGGAAUGGUCUGGAACACCCAGAGAAAAUGAGUGCCUGGGUCCUUCUUAGGCAACAUCCUGUCUCCUGAGAAUGUCAUCUCUAGGAAUAUCUGCAGACUUGCUGAGAACCAGUGAAG